CGCCUCGCCUCGACCGGCGCAUAGCAGCCGAUUUAGACUCUGUGCGGCCCAGGUGAAUCGGACUGUUUAAUUAAAAACAAAGCAUCGUGAAGGCCCGCGGCGGGUGUUGACGCGAUGUGAUUUAUGCCCAGUGCUAUGAAUGUCAAAGUGAAGAAAU
RNAcentral lists this microRNA precursor (157 nucleotides) under Tursiops truncatus (common bottlenose dolphin). RNAcentral describes it as "miRNA (ENSTTRG00000024851.1)". It matches the Rfam family "Eukaryotic large subunit ribosomal RNA", at positions 2076 to 2231 of the family's 3401-position model. The record is from RNAcentral. Lineage: Eukaryota; Metazoa; Chordata; Mammalia; Artiodactyla; Delphinidae.